Molecule: ribosomal RNA, 468 nt
Filed under: uncultured bacterium
Lineage: Bacteria
Description: partial 16S ribosomal RNA
Rfam family: Bacterial small subunit ribosomal RNA
Source: RNAcentral
GACGAACGCUGGCGGCGUGCUUAACACAUGCAAGUCGAACGGAAAGGCCCUGCUGUUGUGGGGUGCUCGAGUGGCGAACGGGUGAGUAACACGUGAGUAACCUGCCCUUGACUUUGGGAUAACUUCAGGAAACUGGGGCUAAUACCGGAUAGGAGAUCCUGCUGCAUGGUGGGGGUUGGAAAGUUUCGGCGGUUGGGGAUGGACUCGCGGCUUAUCAGCUUGUUGGUGGGGUAGUGGCUUACCAAGGCUUUGACGGGUAGCCGGCCUGAGAGGGUGACCGGCCUCAUUGGGACUGAGAUACGGCCCAGAGUCCUACGGGAGGCAGUGGGGGGGAAUAUGACACAAUGGGCGGACGCCUGAUGCAGCAACGCUGCGUGCGUGAUGACGGUCUUCGGGUUGUAAACCGCUUUCGCCUGUGACGAAGCGUGAGUGACGGUAAUGGGUAAAGAAGCACCGGCUAACUACGUG